UAGUGGCGAACGGGUGAGUAACACGUGGGCAAUCUGCCCUGCACUCUGGGACAAGCCCUGGAAACGGGGUCUAAUACCGGAUACGAGCCUCCUCCGCAUGGUGGAGGUUGGAAAGCUCCGGCGGUGCAGGAUGAGCCCGCGGCCUAUCAGCUUGUUGGUGAGGUAACGGCUCACCAAGGCGACGACGGGUAGCCGGCCUGAGAGGGCGACCGGCCACACUGGGACUGAGACACGGCCCAGACUCCUACGGGAGGCAGCAGUGGGGAAUAUUGCACAAUGGGCGAAAGCCUGAUGCAGCGACGCCGCGUGAGGGAUGAAGGCCUUCGGGUUGUAAACCUCUUUCAGCAGGGAAGAAGCGAAAGUGACGGUACCUGCAGAAGAAGCGCCGGCUAACUACGUGCCAGCAGCCGCGGUAAUACGUAGGGCGCAAGCGUUGUCCGGAAUUAUUGGGCGUAAAGAGCUCGUAGGCGGCUUGUCGCGUCGGUUGUGAAAGCCCGGNGCUUAACCCCGGGUCUGCAGUCGAUACGGGCAGGCUAGAGUUCGGUAGGGGAGAUCGGAAUUCCU
RNAcentral lists this ribosomal RNA (564 nucleotides) under Streptomyces sp. 431F03. Its description in RNAcentral is "bacterial SSU rRNA". It matches the Rfam family "Bacterial small subunit ribosomal RNA", at positions 93 to 671 of the family's 1533-position model. The record is from RNAcentral. Lineage: Bacteria; Bacillati; Actinomycetota; Actinomycetes; Kitasatosporales; Streptomycetaceae.